UACGUAGGUGGCAAGCGUUGUCCGGAUUUACUGGGCGUAAAGAGCGCGCAGGCGGUCGUUCAAGUCGCGUGUGAAAGCCCCCGGCUCAACUGGGGAGGGUCACGCGAUACUGAUCGACUCGAAGGCAGGAGAGGGAAGUGGAAUUCCCGGUGUAGCGGUGAAAUGCGUAGAUAUCGAGAGGAACACCUGCGGCGAAGGCGGGUUGCUGGGCUGACACUGACGCUGAUGCGCGAAAGCCAGGGGAGCGAACAGG
RNAcentral lists this ribosomal RNA (253 nucleotides) under uncultured bacterium. RNAcentral's name for it is "partial 16S ribosomal RNA". It matches the Rfam family "Bacterial small subunit ribosomal RNA", at positions 524 to 776 of the family's 1533-position model. The record is from RNAcentral.